Molecule: ribosomal RNA, 253 nt
Filed under: uncultured bacterium
Lineage: Bacteria
Description: partial 16S ribosomal RNA
Rfam family: Bacterial small subunit ribosomal RNA
Source: RNAcentral
UACGAAGGGGGCUAGCGUUGCUCGGAAUCACUGGGCGUAAAGGGUGCGUAGGCGGGUCGCUAAGUCGGGUGUGAAAACUCUGGGCUCAACCCAGAGCCUGCAUUCGAAACUGACGGGCUAGAGUUCUGGAGGGGAAAGCGGAAUUCCUGGUGUAGCAGUGAAAUGCGUAGAUAUCAGGAGGAACACCAGUGGCGAAGGCGGCUCACUGGACCGGUUCUGACGCUGAGGCGCGAAAGCGUGGGGAGCAAACGGG